Molecule: long non-coding RNA, 402 nt
Organism: Panicum virgatum (switchgrass)
Lineage: Eukaryota; Viridiplantae; Streptophyta; Magnoliopsida; Poales; Poaceae
Exons: 3
Source: RefSeq, a predicted model, not a curated record
ACAACUUGCAGUGUGUUAUGGAGAAUCCUUGGUGUUUGUUUGCUUCUCCUUCACUAGCUAGUUCGUGCGCAUAAUUUUUCACAAUGCCAACAUCCAAAUCUGUAACAACUGACGAGAGCAAGGUAACCUGACUUUGGAUGAAGAAGUGCAUUGGAUUGAAAGCUCUGCCUAAUUCUAGGAUGCUACUUUCAAAACAAGGUAGACCGUGGAGGAUUUCCAAUGAAGUAAAAAACGCAUGAUUUUGGCCCUAUGACUUCCCACAUAUAUGUGCCUGUAUUUCUAUGUCUAGCAAACUAGGAUAUUGUAUUUGUGCUAUAUGUGAUUAUUGUUGGUGGCAACUUGUGAAUAUUUUGAUUUGGUAUUUGAAAAUGAUAUGGCCUUCAUGGGCUGGUAUUUGUGCUA